Molecule: transfer RNA, 75 nt
Filed under: Alphaproteobacteria bacterium
Lineage: Bacteria; Pseudomonadati; Pseudomonadota; Alphaproteobacteria
Description: tRNA-Thr
Rfam family: tRNA
About the family: Transfer RNA (tRNA) molecules are approximately 80 nucleotides in length. Their secondary structure includes four short double-helical elements and three loops (D, anti-codon, and T loops). Further hydrogen bonds mediate the characteristic L-shaped molecular structure. tRNAs have two regions of fundamental functional importance: the anti-codon, which is responsible for specific mRNA codon recognition, and the 3' end, to which the tRNAs corresponding amino acid is attached (by aminoacyl-tRNA synthetases). tRNAs cope with the degeneracy of the genetic code in two manners: having more than one tRNA (with a specific anti-codon) for a particular amino acid; and 'wobble' base-pairing, i.e. permitting non-standard base-pairing at the 3rd anti-codon position.
Source: RNAcentral
GCCGGUUUAGCUCAGGGGUAGAGCAACCGCCUUGUAAGCGGUAGGUCGUGAGUUCAAAUCCCACAACCGGCACCA